Long non-coding RNA from Eupeodes corollae, 1520 nucleotides. RefSeq lists it as uncharacterized. The record is from RefSeq and is a predicted model, not a curated record. Lineage: Eukaryota; Metazoa; Arthropoda; Insecta; Diptera; Syrphidae. The transcript is spliced from 4 exons.
CUCAUCCAUAGUUGAAUCAUCCUUUGAGCCAACUUCUUCAGCCCAAGCCUUCUUAGUGUCUUUAUCUACCUUUUGCAGAAGCAGGUUAAUGAGCCAUGGAUCUCGUGAACUGGAGUCUAAAGCCUUAAGCCCCGUAUGGCUUCAUCCGCCCAUUGGUAAUCUUACGAAGCGAUUGAAGAUUUUUCGCAUUGCACGACGCUGACGGUAGCUACGACUGAAUAAACGAACGUACAGUAAGAUGUUUCUGAUCGCAACGUUGUUUUAGUUUUGACCACAUAGUUGUUUUCCGAACAUCUAAUAUUCUUGAGAAGAUUCGCGGCUUCUCCACGAAGAAACGAUUUUAAAAAGUAACUGAUUCGUGGUAACUUAAAAGACUUGUGAGCGAUUUCUAAAUCUGAAUCUUCCGAUAGUGUAUGAUAACCUCCUCUUCAUGCAAAGCUUAAGGUACUCCAUAGGCGUUUUUCUUAUUUUGUUCAGAGCAGAGCCUGAUAUGUCAAACAAAAAAUUGAGUAUCUUUUGAAAUGGACGAGAAAUAUGACUGUCCUUCAAAAACAAAUCUAUUGCAUUUCUUAUUUAUAUUUGUAACAAGUUUUUCUAGUUGAAUUUAUGCUUUGAAUCUUAUUUAGGAGUGUUUCAAAAUUAAGUCUGAACGAUUUGUUCAGAGGAUGUCCAGAGCAUAGAGAAAUGUAUCUAGCAAGAGAACCGACUUAUGGGUUUUGAUCUCUUUCGACCUUCAAGCUGCACUGAAGGAAUUUUUUCCGUAAGCGUGACAUGUGUUAGUUUCCCGUGCAUUUCUUAUGUUAAAAUCCCGAUUCUCUGUAGUUGUUAAGGGCUUUUGAUCUUAGUUUGCACAAUUUGGGGGGAAAACAAUGUGGGUUGAACUCAACCAUUCAAAAAAGAGAUCCGUUAAAUUCAAAAACUAAAAAUGCAUUAUUUUGAGAAAAAUGAAUUGUGCAACUUUUUUCAGUAAGAACUGUGCUAAAAAUAAUAUUUGACUGCUUUUGGGAAGCAAUUUCUAUGAUUUAUAUGAAAAGUUUCGCUAAACACAGAAAACAUCAUGCAGAAAGUAUAGGCACACCCUAGAACUGCAAUGCAAACGUGGCCCAGUUUGAGUUAAGCUCAGUUUUGAAAGAUUAACCACGAGAUAAAGAGGAAAUCAUGGAGAAUGUUGCAACAGAAGAAGUGGAAUUCCCUAAAGGAAGCUACCAACGCCAAUAUGUCUAUUCUGGAGUGAAAAAUUAAUCGCAACGAAGAAGUACAAGUUCAAGAAAUUACACUUCACGACAAGAUUCAGUUCGAUAACACGAAGAGAAAGCAUUGUGUUACAAGUUGUUCCGGUUGAGUGGUCUUGGUUCGGAUACAACGUCAUCCCCAGCUCGUCACAGUCAAGAAGAACUACUCUAAUGAAACGUGUGGCACCCUGUAAAGCAACCACCGGCCGAUUCAUCAACCGAGAGCACGCGAGAGACCUCUCAGUCGGUAUUGAGUAGUGCAGCAAAGCAGACUUAAAUAGAAAUAAA